This 375-nucleotide ribosomal RNA is filed under the name uncultured bacterium. RNAcentral describes it as "partial 16S ribosomal RNA". It matches the Rfam family "Bacterial small subunit ribosomal RNA", at positions 355 to 715 of the family's 1533-position model. The record is from RNAcentral.
UGGGGAAUUUUGGACAAUGGGCGCAAGCCUGAUCCAGCCAUGCCGCGUGCGGGAAGAAGGCCUUCGGGUUGUAAACCGCUUUUGUCAGGGAAGGAAAUCUUCUGAGUUAAUACCUCGGGAGGAUGACGGUACCUGAAGAAUAAGCACCGGCUAACUACGUGCCAGCAGCCGCGGUAAUACGGUAGGGUGCAAGCGUUAAUCGGAAUUACUGGGCGUAAAGCGUGCGCAGGCGGUUUUGUAAGACAGAGGUGAAAAUCCCCGGGCUCAACCUGGGAACUGCCUUUGUCGACUGCAAGGCUUGAGUGCGGCAGAGGGGGGAAUGGAAUUCCGCGUGUAGCAGUGAAAUGCGUAGAUAUGCGGAGGAAACACCGAUGG